UACGUAGGGGGCAAGCGUUGUCCGGAAUCAUUGGGCGUAAAGCGCGCGUAGGCGGCCCGGUAAGUCCGCUCUGAAAGUCCAGGGCUCAACCCUGGAAAGCGGGUGGAUACUGCCGGGCUAGAAUCCGGAAGAGGCGAGUGGAACUCCUGGUGUAGCGGUGGAAUGCGCAGAUAUCAGGAGGAACACCAAUAGCGAAGGCAGCUCGCUGGGACGGUAUUGACGCUAAGGCGCGAAAGCGUGGGGAGCAAACAGG
RNAcentral lists this ribosomal RNA (253 nucleotides) under uncultured bacterium. RNAcentral's name for it is "partial 16S ribosomal RNA". It matches the Rfam family "Bacterial small subunit ribosomal RNA", at positions 524 to 776 of the family's 1533-position model. The record is from RNAcentral.